Equus caballus (horse) is the source of this 1945-nucleotide long non-coding RNA. RefSeq lists it as uncharacterized. The record is from RefSeq and is a predicted model, not a curated record. NCBI's taxonomy places the organism in Eukaryota, Metazoa, Chordata, Mammalia, Perissodactyla, Equidae.
UCCCCCUCCCCCCACCCCAGCACUUGGACUCUAACAGCCGCAAGGGGCAAAGGGUUUCAACUGUCUCGUCCCCCUGCUGUGUUCGCAGAGCCUCGACCAGAGCCUGGCAAGUGCUCCAGGUGACUCUGGUCACAGGCAGGCGUGGGGCUGCGGCCCCAGCUUAGCCUGCAGGAUCUGUGGGUUCAAGGCCAUCUUUAACUGCUGUACCUGCUUCCAGUGGGUGAUACGAGCUCCCCUGGCGAGCGAGGCAUGCCACCGGGGCUGGGCACCAUUGGAACAUAUGUAGCGGUUCUCACCCAGCUCGAGCUUCCUAGGAGAGGAAGAAUGUGGAGCUGCAUUCUUUCCACGCCUCAUCUCAACCCUUGACAGUUGGGAGAUCGCAUCCUCCUGGGCCCGCUCUCCUCAGCGCCCGUCCCCUCCCGCGGCGCUCAGUUGCCCCAGACUCUCCAGGAACUGGCGGCUCCCCAGGCUUAGAGCAGGAUUGCCCAGGAGUGGAGACAAGGGAGGACAGAGGUCAGAAGGCAGCGCUCACCGGCUGGGUGACCUGCGACCUCCCUGUGCUGUGGGCCCCACAGCUGGGAAACGAGAGGACAACCAGCUCCCUCAGAGGGCCGUGCUGAGCCGGUGGAGACACUGGCCAUGUGCACGGCUGGAGUCCAGUCAGGGCUAGUUUUCCUGUCCACUCUGAUACCCGGUGCCUGGCACAGAGUCAGUGCUCAAAGAGCGUUUGCUGAAAUGAAUGGAAUCCUCAUUUCUCCUUGUGGAAACCGGGGCCCAGAGACUGGCUGAUCUGACAACCAGCGCCAAGCCUUCUGCCUGCUCAAGGCUUCUUUACCUUUACCCUUCCGGAACAAGAAUGUGGGUGGCUGUGCCUACCAUCCCUGGGGGCCUCCCCACACCUCUGCUGCCACCGUUAUAGAGAUGAUUCGGAGCAGCCCGGCCCCAUGGUUCCCUCAGGGAGGAACAAGGACAGGGGUCCCUUGCAGCCUACCUGCCGUCCCCAGGUGGUGGAGGGGAUUGGUACUUCCUGCCCCCUUCUGUCCUUCUAUUUUGGGGCUUCAUAAUACAUUUCCUGCCUGUCACUCUGGACUUAAUAUGGUCAGGGGAACCAAAAGAUUGCCAUAUUUUUAGGGAUGACUCAAAGGGAGAACACAGCUGGGACGCUGACUCUAUUUCCUGUAACUCAGUUCUUUCCUGCAUUCACCAAGGGAGCGUCAUUGUCUUGCUCUGUGACUCAGUUUCCCCUUCUAAGCCUCAGGAAGGAGACAGAGCACAGGGUGUGGAGGCAUUGGGCUUGUAAGAUGGAGCUGGCAUGACAGGCUUGUGACAGUGACAUGAAAAACACUUGUCGGGGAUUGCUUUUGUUCCUCUCGGCAAGCUGGGCCGGUGCCUGCAGGGCCCUCCUCCCCGUGGGAGGCCUCCUAGCACACCCAUCUGGAUAAAAGGCCUCUGCACCCACAAAGUGGGGAGCUGGGGAAUUACUCCCAGCGGGGCGGCAUCAAACACCCAAAACCGGGCCAGCAGGCCAGGAGGCAAGUCUUAACACGCCCUCUUGGACUGCACCCCCAGGUCCACCUCCAGAAGUGGGGUGCAAAAGCAUUUGCAGAAAACGCAAGGGCCAGACCCUAAUUCCUGGGAAGCUGCCCUUUGAUCACGAUGGGGGGCCGCAUUGCUAAAGUGUCCCCAGGGCCCAGCGCAGGGCUGGGAGCUUGGGGAUGGUGACAGAGUGGAGCCUCCCACUUCUGGCUUCCCCUUUCCGCAGCUGGGCCACCGGCUAUGGGGGAACGCCGCCCCCUUUUCCACCACGCAGGGCUGGGGUGCAAGGCCACAGGGAGCCUGGCACCCAGCCGCGGGGAGGGGCGCGCGAAGGAGAGCCUCUGGGCCUCAGCCCAAACUUUCCCCAUGUCCCUCCCACCCCCUCCCGGGCCAAGCAAGAGGAAACUGA